CUGAGGACAGCUGCACUGCCUUCACCUCUCAGCUCCAACACUGGCAAACCUUCCCUGACUUCCCCAGGCAGAUGAUUUGUUCUUUCUCUUUUGAGUCCUCUGCAGUUUCAAAUACUGCCAUUUUUAUAAUUGCCUUGUUUUAUUUUAUCACGUCUCUCAGUCUGUGUCUCCCACUGGGCUGUGAACUCUACGGCAGAAGAACGACUCCUCAUUUGUUUGCUGGCUACCUGGAACCUCAGACAGGCCUGGCACUCAGAGUGCUCAAGAAAUAUUUUUGGGGGCCGACCCAGUGGUGCAGCAGUUAAGUGCUCACAUUCUGCUUCCCAGUGGCCCAGGGUUCACGGGUUCAGGUCCCGGGUGCGGACACGGCACCGCUUGGCACACCAUGCUGAGGUACAACUAAAUGGACAUCCACCAACCAAGAGAGAAUUCCCUAUAUAACACAGCACGAUGCCUGAGAGAUCCACACAGCUAUACCUCUGAACGCAGGUGGAUUGGAUCCCUGAGAAAUAGUGGAACCAGAUGAGGAAACUGAGGCAGAGUGAGCCUAGGGGAGCUUGCCCAGGGUCGCACAGCUGGUACCCGGCAGGCCCACGUUGACUCCAGGCAGUCUGGCUGCAGAGUUCGCACCAUGAUGUACCACACGCUUCUACUCUAUCUUCUAUCAAAUGCCAGAUGUGUGCUAUAUCUGCUCAGAUGCCCCUUCUUCCAGGAAGCCUUUCAGCCUUGCCACCGGAUUGGGGAGGACCCUCCUCUGUUUUCUCAUAACACUCUGGCCUUGACUGCACAGAUGCACCACAUUUAGUGCAUGUUUGUUGAGUGAAUAUUAAGUGAUUGCAAAAGAAGGGUUUAACAUGUUUUGUUGAAUCCCAGAGAAACUAUGGACUUCCACCAAACUGCCAAACAUCCACAAAACAGCAGCCAGGUGCUGAGCUUGCUCUCCUGCUCACCACUGCUUCCUCCUCUGGUGUCUUGAGGCCUCCUCCUUGAUCAUCUCAUCUCCAAUGUAGCUUGGUCUCAGUGUCAAGGCCACCACUGAAGUGGCCUUUCUUCUACUUUUUCCACUGUGUCUACUUUUUCCUCAUUGUUGAAAAUAAAAAUAAUCUUGGCCAAACCUCUAUCCUUCAACUCUGCUCUCGUUCCUCACGUUUCCUCAAAGCUUUAUCUGCAGAAAUUCUCAGUUCUGGGAGGGAGUUUAAACCAAGCCAGGAGAUAAGAACUCAUUUAGGGGGACAGAGUUCGCUUAUUUGCCCUGCUUUCCUGAACGUCAUUUCUCUUGCCAGCAGAGGUCAAGAAAAGGAGUGGAGGAAUGCAGCUGCCCCCCGCCACUUCCUAAACAUAACGCCGUUGGACAAUCUUCACCUCCCCA
RNAcentral lists this long non-coding RNA (1369 nucleotides) under Equus caballus (horse). RNAcentral describes it as "lncRNA (ENSECAG00000056383.1)". The record is from RNAcentral. Lineage: Eukaryota; Metazoa; Chordata; Mammalia; Perissodactyla; Equidae.